RNAcentral lists this ribosomal RNA (433 nucleotides) under uncultured bacterium. RNAcentral's name for it is "partial 16S ribosomal RNA". It matches the Rfam family "Bacterial small subunit ribosomal RNA", at positions 29 to 507 of the family's 1533-position model. The record is from RNAcentral.
AACGAACGCUGGCGGCAUGCCUAACACAUGCAAGUCGAACGAGACCUUCGGGUCUAGUGGCGCACGGGUGCGUCACGCGUGGGAACCUGCCCUUAGGUUCGGAAUAACUCCCCGAAAGGGGUGCUAAUACCGGAUAAUGUCUUCGGACCAAAGAUUUAUCGCCUUUGGAUGGGCCCGCGUUGGAUUAGCUAGUUGGUAGGGUAAAAGCCUACCAAGGCGACGAUCCAUAGCUGGUCUGAGAGGAUGAUCAGCCACACUGGGACUGAGACACGGCCCAGACUCCUACGGGAGGCAGCAGUGGGGAAUAUUGGACAAUGGGCGAAAGCCUGAUCCAGCAAGGCCGCGUGAGUGAUGAAGGCCGUAGGGUUGUAAAGCUCUUUUACCCGGGAUGAUAAUGACAGUACCGGGAGAAUAAGCGCCGGCUAACUCCGUG